UCGAGUGGCGAACGGGUGAGUAACACGUGGGUGAUCUGCCCUGCACUUUGGGAUAAGCCUGGGAAACUGGGUCUAAUACCGAAUAUGACCACGCUCUUCAUGGGGUGUGGUGGAAAGCUUUUGCGGUGUGGGAUGGGCCCGCGGCCUAUCAGCUUGUUGGUGGGGUAAUGGCCUACCAAGGCGACGACGGGUAGCCGGCCUGAGAGGGUGACCGGCCACACUGGGACUGAGAUACGGCCCAGACUCCUACGGGAGGCAGCAGUGGGGAAUAUUGCACAAUGGGCGCAAGCCUGAUGCAGCGACGCCGCGUGAGGGAUGACGGCCUUCGGGUUGUAAACCUCUUUCACCAGGGACGAAGCGCAAGUGACGGUACCUGGAGAAGAAGCACCGGCCAACUACGUGCCAGCAGCCGCGGUAAUACGUAGGGUGCGAGCGUUGUCCGGAAUUACUGGGCGUAAAGAGCUCGUAGGUGGUUUGUCGCGUUGUUCGUGAAAACUCACAGCUUAACUGUGGGCGUGCGGGCGAUACGGGCAGACUAGAGUACUGCAGGGGAGACUGGAAUUCCUGGUGUAGCGGUGGAAUGCGCAGAUAUCAGGAGGAACACCGGUGGCGAAGGCGGGUCUCUGGGCAGUAACUGACGCUGAGGAGCGAAAGCGUGGGGAGCGAACAGGAUUAGAUACCCUGGUAGUCCACGCCGUAAACGGUGGGUACUAGGUGUGGGUUCCUUCCUUGGGAUCCGUGCCGUAGCUAACGCAUUAAGUACCCCGCCUGGGGAGUACGGCCGCAAGGCUAAAACUCAAAGGAAUUGACGGGGGCCCGCACAAGCGGCGGAGCAUGUGGAUUAAUUCGAUGCAACGCGAAGAACCUUACCUGGGUUUGACAUGCACAGGACGCUGGUAGAGAUAUCAGUUCCCUUGUGGCCUGUGUGCAGGUGGUGCAUGGCUGUCGUCAGCUCGUGUCGUGAGAUGUUGGGUUAAGUCCCGCAACGAGCGCAACCCCUAUCUUAUGUUGCCAGCGCGUUAUGGCGGGGACUCGUAAGAGACUGCCGGGGUCAACUCGGAGGAAGGUGGGGAUGACGUCAAGUCAUCAUGCCCCUUAUGUCCAGGGCUUCACACAUGCUACAAUGGCCGGUACAAAGGGCUGCGAAUCCGCGAGGUGGAGCGAAUCCCUUGAAAG
RNAcentral lists this ribosomal RNA (1176 nucleotides) under Mycolicibacterium llatzerense. Its description in RNAcentral is "bacterial SSU rRNA". It matches the Rfam family "Bacterial small subunit ribosomal RNA", at positions 91 to 1281 of the family's 1533-position model. Lineage: Bacteria; Bacillati; Actinomycetota; Actinomycetes; Mycobacteriales; Mycobacteriaceae. The record is from RNAcentral.